This 218-nucleotide long non-coding RNA is filed under the name Elaeis guineensis (African oil palm). RNAcentral describes it as "long non-coding RNA (EGUI_LNC051791)". The record is from RNAcentral. Lineage: Eukaryota; Viridiplantae; Streptophyta; Magnoliopsida; Arecales; Arecaceae.
UUAGAUUAAUGUGAUUAAUCUAGUGGUCUUUCAUUAUAAUUUUUUCAAAAAUAUUUUAAAAUACAUGCAUGAAAUCACCUGCAUUCUCCAGCACUUGACUUACGCACCAACUUGAUAAGUACUUAACUGUACCUAGUAACCUUCUGUCACUAAGUUAGAAAUUCAGAUGGUCCAACAUCAAAGUACAGUGAGUUACUUACAAGUCACUGUGGUGAUCU